UCUGGUUGCUGAAGUCACACCUUGGAUUCCUGCCUGCCCUGAGAACUCUGACAGGACUUUGGCAAAGCUGCAGAGGCUUCGUGGCCACGCUUGAUACAGACUUUACAGACCCAGCCGUCAGAGGAGGAGUGGGACACGACAUAAUCCCAGAGUCAUGCAGGCCACAUGACCAUGGAAAUUGUCUUCAGACAACGAGCAAUCGUGAACACGACUGACAGGAAAACCUUUACCUUUUAAUACUUCCAGGCUUUGUGGUUGGUAAACUUCACUUCUCCUCCUCCUGCAAAAUGCCUGAGCUUGAAAUCUUGGGCUUGGACAAUCUGGAACUGCGCCACCUGUGGUCUGAUCUAAGAAUAGUACACAAAAUUGUCUGCUACAACAUCUUACCUGUCAACGGCUUCUUCAGCUUCAACCUCAAUAAUACACGGGCAAAUAAUCGAUGCAAACUCAAGGUAAACCACUCCAAACUCGAUUGCAGAAAAUACGACUUCAGCAACAGAUAGAAUGGUCAAUGCCCACAAUGCUGUAUCCGACUCCAUUGUUACAUCCUCAAACCCUCACAGCUUCAGUCUUAAACUGCCUACCGUGGACCUCACCCCAUUCCUAAGAGGUCUGUAAAAGGGGGCGUGCAUAAGUGCACCAGUGUGCCUACCGUCCCUGUCCUACUGUCCCCAAUUAUUACAUGUUUGACAAACAAACAAAUAAAUAAAUAAAUAAAGCCAAUUCAGUAAAAUUUUACAAGAAGAGUUCUCCACUCCUCUGAAUACAACAAAAUACCUUAUGCCACCAGACUUGAAAUCCUGGGUUUAGAAAAUUUAGAACUACGCCGUCUUCGACAUGUCCUGAGUUUAACUCAUAGAAUCAUCUGUUACAAUGUCCUUCCUGUCGAAGACUACUUCAGCUUCAAUUGCAACAAUAGAUUUAAGCACACAAUAGAUUUAUGCUUAAUGUUAACCGCUCCAAUCUUGAUUGCAGAAAAUAUGACUUCAGUAACAGAGUUGUUAAUGCUUGGAAUACACUACCUGACUCUGUGGUCUCUUCCCAAAAUCCCAAAAGCUUCAACCAAAAACUGUCUACUAUUGACCUCACCCCAUUCCUAAGAGGUCUGUAAGGGGCGUGCAUAAGAGCACAAGCAUGC
Long non-coding RNA from Ahaetulla prasina, 1138 nucleotides. RefSeq lists it as uncharacterized. The record is from RefSeq and is a predicted model, not a curated record. The transcript has 4 exons. Lineage: Eukaryota; Metazoa; Chordata; Lepidosauria; Squamata; Colubridae.